GGCUUGCCAGGAGCUGGAGCGGGAGGUAGGCGGGGCGGCGCGUGACCUAAGGCCUCUCUGCCGCGCGCGCAGGUACGGGGCCGAAGUCGCAGGUACCCAGCUGCUGCCCACCUUUUUGGUCCAGAGUCCCGAACCCCGAGCACUGGGAUGCCUGGCUACUCCGAGCGUUAUCCAGACUAGCGAGUGGGAGGCAGAUGUAAAAUCUGGAACGCAGAUUUUAGUUUGUUGGAAGGAGAAAUGUAACAUAGUGAACCACGUAUCUCUGGAGGGUGUAAAGCAGAGACAGCCAAGAGCCAAGGCACUGAUGUUUGAACUGGAAACUUCAAAACUUUUAAUAAGAGUCUUCAGGAUGGGUUUGAACUAGACAAGCUAGAAAUUUCUUUAGAACACCAGCUCUAGCAUACAUCUCCCACUUUUGGCUUUCCUGGACAGGAGCUUGAAGAGGUGGUUCUGCAGACAGCCACAGUGAUACUCAGGAAACCAGAGGAAUGGAUUUGACUUUUCUACUAGGAUUCUCUGUUAUAGUUUCUCCCUGAGUUGUAAGAGGCAUGGAAAUAUACAUGAAACUGAAGAACCUGCAAGGAAGGGAAGUGGAACUUUCCAUGCUGAGUGAAAACUAACCAAGUGGCGGUUGUGACUGAAAACACUGAAACCCACCACGUCCAGAUUCACUGGAUUGGGGGAUAGAGGAACGGUC
Molecule: small RNA, 697 nt
Filed under: Pan troglodytes (chimpanzee)
Lineage: Eukaryota; Metazoa; Chordata; Mammalia; Primates; Hominidae
Description: processed transcript
Source: RNAcentral